Molecule: long non-coding RNA, 1190 nt
Organism: Meriones unguiculatus (Mongolian gerbil)
Lineage: Eukaryota; Metazoa; Chordata; Mammalia; Rodentia; Muridae
Exons: 3
Source: RefSeq, a predicted model, not a curated record
GUGUGAAGUGGAUGUAAUAUGUUUCAGAGUCUGUAGCUGGCUGUAUGCUUCCAUUUUAUGCCUUCAAGAUAAGCCCUUGGCAUGGAUUUUUAUAAGCACAUAAAAAGAAAACACAAGAUGGAGUGAAUGAUGUCUUCACUGGCUCGCUUGGGAACUACCAAACACCUAGCAGCCGCCUGCAUGCUAACUUCCCCGUGUUCUCUCUGGCCACCAUUCUCUUUCCUGCCCUACACGUAAGCUGUAACCUGGAAGUAUGUACACAUGUCUAGAGCUUUGUCUGUGUGUGUAGCUUUCAGACUGCCGAACACGGAGCCCAGCACUGGGUACUGGGGUGCUUCAUGACCAAAGAUGGAUGCGGGAUUCUAAUCACUGUGUGAUGGAAUAUGGAAAGAAAGAGAGCAAACGAUCUUCCUUCUGCUGUGUGGUUUUCUUGAAAGGAGGCCACCAAAAGUUUCAGUGAUUUAUGUACACUUCCCACACCAGCUAGAAUUUAGAUUGUCAUAAGAAGUAUCCAGAGUUGCCGCACAUCAAAGUGGGCUUUUAUUAUUCAGGAAGAAAUGGGGGUUUGGGUAUUAAGAGACAAUGAGGUGCUGCCUUGCCACUGGAUACAGUAUACACGCCAUUUGGAAAAUGCUGGGAUGUCUAAAUUUGGCCUCUUUGGAAUGAAUAAUACAUCAGAAAUAGGUUUUUGGUAGCGAUAGACAAGCUUGCACUAACUAAUACACACAAACAUUAAUUUCAAGUUGGAAGUUAUUGCAAGGGAUUCAGCCAUCUAAAGAAAGGUACCACAGGGCUGAGGAGCUGGCUUGGUCAACACAAUGCUUACCAGGCAAGUACUCUCUGAAUUUAGAUCUCAGCACAGACACACACAGUCUGUAACCUCAGUGCCCAGGGGACUGGAAAUACACAGAUCCCUGGAGCUCACCUGCAGGGCAGCAUAGCUGAACUGGUGAGCUCCAGCUUGAGUGAGAGAUUCUGUCUCAAAAAAAUAAGAUGGAACAGCUGGAGAGAUGGCUCAGUGGUUAGAAACACUUACUGUUCUUGCAGGAAACCUGGGUUUUCUUCCUAGCACCUACAUGGUGGCCCACAACCAUCUGUAGCUUCAGUUCUAGGGGGUCCUGUGCCCUCUUCUGACCUUCUCUGACUUUCUCAGGCACUGGACAUAUAUGCUGGCACACACUCAUAUUACA